CAGGAGGCGCCAGGCGGGUUGCAAGCAAACACACAACCCACCCGUCGUUGGGUCAGCCACGUGCACCGCGACCGAGCCGGACCAGUUUGGUCUCGGACAGUCGGACCCGAGUCAAUCCUUCAGCCUCAGGUGCGGCGUCCGCCCGCCACGUGUCCUCGCCUCACCAAUCAUCACCCAUCCUUCUCUUCUCGGCCCCACCAACUCUGUCUCUCUCUCUCUCUCUCUCUCUCGCUGCUCGCGCAAAAACCCCAACUGCGUCGCCGUGCUCGCCGGCUCGCCGCCUCGGCCUCGCCGCGCGCUCUCUCGCCGCCGGUGUCUGGACGACGAGGAGGGCGGGUGGCGGCGGGGGAUGGAUCGCUGGGAGGCGUUGAUCGCCGCCGCCGCGCGGCGGAGCGAGCCGCCGAGAAGCGGGUGGGCGGAGUGGGGCGGGGGCGGCGACGCUCGCGCGGGCGCGGCCGCGCUUCCGUCUCGCUGUCCCCGUCGUCCCGUGGCUGCUGCGGGUGGGAGAGGCGAGGGGGGUGAUAGAAUGCGGGGGCGAGGCGGGGAGGAAGGGACGUGGACGGCUCAUGGUGGAGGCGGACGAGGUGCGGAGCGCGCGGGCGCGGUGGUGGCGCCGACGAGGACAGCGGACGCGGCGGGGACGGGGACGGGGAGGAACGCGGUGGCCGUCGGCGGUGGCGCGGCGGAGGAUGUGGUGGUGAUUGUAUCAGGGCGGCGAUCGGUGGGCGAGCCGACGCUGGACGUCUCUGAGAUGCUGCUCCAGGCGGCGCAGGCAUGGAGAAGCCGGCGCACGCAGCGGGAAGCUCGCCCGGACGCGCUUCCACCUCGCCAUCCUCCUCGUCCCGUCGCCGCGGAUGGGCGCGGGGGCUCAGGCGAGGGGACCAGUAGAGCGCGGGGGCGCGGCGAGGAGGGGACGGCUCGUGGCGGAGAUGGCGAGAUGAUGGCGCUGGUGAGAACAGUGGAUGUGGCCGUGGCCGGUGGUUUGGCCACGCUCACGCACGGCGGCGAGCGGGAUGCUGGCGCGGCGGUGGCGACGGAGGAGAAGAGAAAUGGCGGCGAGGUGGGGACGAAGAGGGGGAUGGAGGAGCGGGCCGCGCGUUCGCCGCCGCCGCCCAAGCGGAGCGCGGUGUCCUCCGUUCGCCAGCUUCCUCCAGGUUGCGGAAGGGACGCCGCUCUUCCACUCGGGCGCCGCCACGGCCGCGGCCGCGAUGGCGACGGUGGUGUUCCUCCUCUCGCUGGCAACAGAACUGAUUUGCCGUUGGAAGCUGUGGUGGAUGGUGGUGAUCCAAUUGCAAAUGUGCAUCAAAUCUUCAGCAAAUCUUCGCAUGCUACGGAUGAGAAUCAGGUCGCUUGCAAAGUUGGUUCACUGGAGGAUGUUGUACAAGAAGGGGCAGCAAAUAGUGGUGAAUUGCUGGGGUGGAAGCAAGUGUUAGCUCAAGCCGCGAAUGUGCUUCCCAAGAGGAGGAUGGUAUCCGCGACGCGCCGCUUCCCUCCUGGAUGUGGGAGGGACGUUAAGACUGGUUCAGGUUUGGAAUUCAUGGCUGUUGAUGCUUCUUGUGGUGGUGUGUCAAAGGAGGUGGUGGCUUCGGAUGGCGGUGAUAGUUUGGUUAGCCAGGAAUUGGAGGAGGGUGAGGUGGCUGAUGAGGCAUACUCUGAUGUAGAUUCACAAAAUGUUGCUGUGGAUGAUUCCAUGGCUGCAGCUACUGAAGAUGUUAAGGUGAUGAACAAAUGCAAAGGGACCUUACCCAGAGCCGCUGCUGAACCUUGUGCUGAGGGUCCUUCCAAAGAACAUUUUAAGGGUACGAGGGAGUGUGAAAAUGAUAGGAUGGGAAAAUCAUCCAUGAAUGUUGCAACAGAAGUAUUUGGUGAUGGUAUGAUGAGAAGUAAGAUACUAUUGACAGCUAGAAAAGCAGUCAAGUCACCACUGAACACUCUGCAUAGAUGGCCCUUCUCUAAGGGAAAAGAGGAGUGUGCUGUAACAAAUAGUGCUCCAUUUGGUCCUAAGAAGAAGUUUAAGGUAAAAGGUGCAUAUCAAACUAAAGAUAUUCCUAUCAAGAUUGUCUCUACACCUGGAUUAGGGGGCAAGGACAACCUUGUCGACAAAGAGGCUUUGAUCUUGGAAGAUGAUGAUAUUUUGAAGGCACUAGCUGUUCAUGAUGGAAAACUUAAGUUGUAUCUCAAUGCUUCCUCAUCUGUUCAGCGUCACGGGCAACAUGGAAGUGGGAAUGCUAAUGAUAGGAGGAAAACCAUGAUGCUGUGCAGGAGGUUUCAGUUUAUACACAGGGCUCUUGUACAUGCUGUCAAACAGGGCUCGUUGAAGGUUCUAAGAGCUGACCUUGAAGCUGAUAAAAUCGUUCGGAAAUUGCCGGGCUUUAUCAAACCUGGACCUAUUGUGGGAAAUGUUCGUGGAGUCGAAGUCGGUGACGAAUUUCUAUACAGAGUUGAGCUAGCCCUUGUUGGUCUCCACCGUCCAUACCAGGGAGGAAUCGAUACCACCGAUCAUAAUGGAGUGCUUGUUGCAAUAAGCAUCGUUGCUUCUGGAGGUUAUCCCGAUAGAUUGUCAAGUUCAGGUGAACUCAUAUACACUGGUUCUGGAGGACAGCCUGCUGGUAAGAAGAAAGGUGAGGAUCAAAAGCUAGAGAGGGGAAAUCUUGCCUUGAAGAAUUGCAUCAAGACAAAGACACCUGUCCGAGUGAUUCAUGGAUUCAAAGGCCAAAAUGGCAAGGAUGACAGUUAUUCAAGGGCUAAACAAAUCUCAGCAUUUACUUAUGAUGGGUUGUAUCGUGUGGUGGAUUACUGGAGAGAAGGUCUAAAAGGUUCUAUGGUCUUCAAAUACAGACUACAAAGAAUUCAUGCUGGUCGAUGAGGUUGAUCAUCUAAAUCUUUUCUAGUACAGAAUCAAGAUGUAUUUUUUUUGUCCUGGGUGAUAUAAUUAGCUUAGAAGGACAAGAAGUUACAUGGGCCUGGUUGAAGGGUGAUGUUUUCCGGUGGCGAAAAUGGGCGUGAAGUGUCGCUCGAACUCCUGGAAGGGGUGAGAGUCGAAGCACUAGAACACAUGCGCAAGUACACGGAAGGCACUUCGGCAACCUAUAACAAGAAGGUUCGACCGAUAGAACUCCGGCCCGGCCAUCUCGUACUAUCCUAACCUAUAUUUUUCCUUCAAAUUUAAAAUCGGGUAUAGGUAGUGCCGGAUCGGAUAACAUGUCACUUGUGCCGUAUCACAUUCCAUAUUAAUUUCUCGAAAUCGGAUACAUGAAAGAAUUUCUAUGUGCAAUUCAUGCAUAUUAAAUAUAGAGGGGCAAUUAAAGUACCAAAAGAGAUAAAGCAAGAAAACAUUUAUGUAAUAUUACCUAUGAUAUUAUAAACUAGUGUAAUCAAUAUUUUAUCA
Molecule: RNA transcript, 3388 nt
Organism: Oryza sativa Japonica Group (Japanese rice)
Lineage: Eukaryota; Viridiplantae; Streptophyta; Magnoliopsida; Poales; Poaceae
Source: RefSeq, a predicted model, not a curated record